UAGGGAAUAUUGGACAAUGGGCGAAAGCCUGAUCCAGCAACGCCGCGUGCGCGAUGACGGCCUUCGGGUUGUAAAGCGCUUUUAGAGGAUAUGAGAAAGGACAGUAUCCUCUGAAUAAGCCUCGGCGAACUACGUGCCAGCAGCCGCGGUACAACGUAGGAGGCUAGCGUUAUCCGGAUUUAUUGGGCGUAAAGCGCGUGCAGGCGGUCUGGUAAGUUGGAUGUGAAAGCUCCUGGCUUAACUGGGAGAGGUCGUUCAAUACUGUCAGACUAGAGAAUGGGAGAGGGAGGUAGAAUUCCGGGUGUAGUGGUGAAAUGCGUAGAUAUGCGGAGGAACACCAGUGGCGAAAGCGGCCUCCUGGCCCAUUUCUGACGCUCAGACACGAAAGCUAAGGUAGCAAACG
Molecule: ribosomal RNA, 403 nt
Filed under: uncultured prokaryote
Description: bacterial SSU rRNA
Rfam family: Bacterial small subunit ribosomal RNA
Source: RNAcentral